AACGCACAUUGCGCCCGCCAGCAUUCUGGCGGGCAUGCCUGUCCGAGCGUCAUUUCAACCCUCGAUCCCCCCCCGGGGGGAGCGGUGUUGGGGGACGGCCGCCUGCAACGCCCACCCGUGGGAUGGCGGCCGCCCCCGAAAUGCAGUGGCGACCCCGCCGCAGCCUCCCCUGCGUAGUAGCUGUCACAGUAAACCUCGCACCGGAGCGCGGCGCGGCUCGGCCGUGAAACCCCAACUUUCUGAAAGGUUGACCUCGGAUCAGGUAGGAGUACCCGCUGAACUUAA
This 285-nucleotide unclassified non-coding RNA is filed under the name uncultured fungus. Its description in RNAcentral is "partial contains 5.8S ribosomal RNA, internal transcribed spacer 2, and large subunit ribosomal RNA". The record is from RNAcentral. Lineage: Eukaryota; Fungi.